This 566-nucleotide long non-coding RNA is filed under the name Olea europaea (common olive). RNAcentral's name for it is "long non-coding RNA (OEUR_LNC002308)". Lineage: Eukaryota; Viridiplantae; Streptophyta; Magnoliopsida; Lamiales; Oleaceae. The record is from RNAcentral.
GAUUUUCUAGCUGUAGAAUCUUGGCUUGACCUUACAGUUAUAGAUACUCUCAUAUAGGUUUAGCUCAUGAAUCGCACUUUAGCCUCUGUAAUUGAAUGACAUUUACAUGAACUUCACGGCCUGCUUCACCUUCACUUCCUUCCGUACCUGAUUCUUAGUCUGCUCUAUUAGUUGCUGUCUUGAAUUGGUUGUUGUUGACUACCAAAAUUUACUUUUCUUCCACAAACGGGGGUAUUCUUUUGAACAAUAUACCAUUAAGUACAAAUUUGUAGUUACUCAUGUUCUAAUGUGAUUCCAUGGUUCCAAACAGGGUAGCAGUUCAUGAUCUUCAGUCAUCACCAAGUAGAGAAGCUUCACCAUUGGAAGGCAUAAUAAUGGCAUGCAGUCGAGGAUCAAAAAGCAAGAUAUGGCAUAUGAUUAAUACUGCAUUUCCUCCAACCUCUAAUUUUCUCCGUUAACUACAAUUGCAUAUUCCUUUUUUCACCAAUGACUCUUAGUUCUUAGUAACUUAAUUCAAUACUUGAAGCAUUCUUUCUUGUGAUUAUUUAACAUUUCGCUAUCCUCAA